RNAcentral lists this transfer RNA (71 nucleotides) under Peltocephalus dumerilianus (big-headed amazon river turtle). RNAcentral's name for it is "tRNA-Ser(UCN)". It matches the Rfam family "tRNA". Rfam says of the family: Transfer RNA (tRNA) molecules are approximately 80 nucleotides in length. Their secondary structure includes four short double-helical elements and three loops (D, anti-codon, and T loops). The record is from RNAcentral. Lineage: Eukaryota; Metazoa; Chordata; Testudines; Podocnemididae.
AAGAAAGAAACAUAAUGGUUGUGUUGCUGGCUUGAAACCGGUUAUAGGGGGUUCGAUUCCUUCCUUUCUUG